GAUUUUUGAUUUCAAUCAAAGCAGGUUCUUCACUUUGCUUUACUACAUCAUCAUCAUCAUCAUCAUCAUCAUCAUCAUCAUUUUUUUCUUGUAUGACAAAGCAAACAAGACAGAUAUGCUGGAUUUCGUAUCACAAAAUCACAAGUCGAACACUUCCCAAGUGUCUAGGACUGUGUGAUGUAUUUUCAGAUGAUGCGUGCAGAUCCCAGUAGGGUUGCCUUUUGCAGUUGGCAGAUCGUGAUUUUCACAUCACAUUAAGACACUUUACUACAUGUGCAUCUGAAAAUGUCAUAUAUUUGAUUAUAUGUCCAUGUAAAUUGUUAUAUGUAGGGAUGACCUCUAGGGCAUUGAGAACACGGAUACAAGAACACAAAUCCAGAAUCAGGAAUGGAUGCACAGACUCUACUCUAUACACACAUUUUCAAGAAAAAGCUCAUUCUGAUGAGAGUUUUAAGUUCUUUGUGAUAGAGAAGGUAAAACCCAUUGGAGACAAUAAAAGACUUCUUCUACAAAGGGAGUCUUUCUGGACCUUUAAAUUAAAAUCUGUAUUCCCCAAAGGACUGAAUGAUAGGAUUGAUUUCACCUGUUAUCUUUAGUGAAUUGAGUAUUUCAGUUCACCAUGCAAGCCAUAGGGCACUUGCAACUUGAGAAAAAACACAGAGCCCUGCAAGAGUAACGACGUAAAUUGACUACAUUGAAAAGCCUUGAACUGAAGCAGGACCAAGCAAGUAAUUAAGAUUAAAGAGACAGCAAUAAAUCCACAACAUACCGCAGAAGAUUCUGAGAAUCUCAGUAAGAAGAAAAAUACCAUACAUCAAAAGACUAUUUAAGACCUUACAUAAAUAACAACAACCUGAAGAAGGACUUCCCGAAACGAGGCAGUGUACCCGGGAUUACUUGUUGUUGCAUAGUUUUGUUCUACAUACACACAACAGCUGUGGACUGUUUUCCGUUGAGUUUGAUGUAUGCUUUACUUUAUAUGUUACUCAAUAAAGUUGUAUAAUUGUAUAUAUACCAUAAUUGUGGACUGUUUUCAGUUGGAGGUUUAUGUGUGUUUUGCUUUAUAUGUUUCACAAUAAGUUAGUACCCGGUUGGGACUGUAAAGAAAAUACUCUAUAUACUAGCAUACCACAAUACACACGCUAAAACCUA
Long non-coding RNA from Anolis carolinensis (green anole), 1152 nucleotides. RefSeq lists it as uncharacterized. The transcript has 2 exons. NCBI's taxonomy places the organism in Eukaryota, Metazoa, Chordata, Lepidosauria, Squamata, Anolidae. The record is from RefSeq and is a predicted model, not a curated record.